ACCACAACAUAGCCCCUAUAUAAGGGGAGUCUGUAUAUAAAUGAGAGGUUCUCUCCUCCUUAUUUGGAGAGUUUGUAUAUAGAUGAGAGAUGCUCUUCUUCUUAUUUUUUACCACACCUUUCCAGUCAAGGAGUCUGUGUAUGGACAGGAGGGACCCCACAGUCACAAGGAUGGUCUCUUACCUAAUGCACCGUUAUUACAGCC
This 204-nucleotide long non-coding RNA is filed under the name Elaeis guineensis (African oil palm). RNAcentral's name for it is "long non-coding RNA (EGUI_LNC072711)". Lineage: Eukaryota; Viridiplantae; Streptophyta; Magnoliopsida; Arecales; Arecaceae. The record is from RNAcentral.